CAAUCUCUUAAAGCCGUUCUCAGUUCGGAUUGUAGGCUGCAACUCGCCUACAUGAAGUCGGAAUCGCUAGUAAUCGCGGAUCAGCAUGCCGCGGUGAAUACGUUCCCGGGCCUUGUACACACCGCCCGUCACACCAUGAGAGUUGGCAAUACCCAACGUACGUGAUCUAACCCGCAAGGGAGGAAGCGUCCUAAGGUAGGGUCAGCGAUUGGGGUGAAGUCGUAACAAGGUAUC
This 234-nucleotide ribosomal RNA is filed under the name uncultured bacterium. RNAcentral's name for it is "partial 16S ribosomal RNA". It matches the Rfam family "Bacterial small subunit ribosomal RNA", at positions 1269 to 1500 of the family's 1533-position model. The record is from RNAcentral.